Molecule: ribosomal RNA, 485 nt
Filed under: uncultured bacterium
Lineage: Bacteria
Description: bacterial SSU rRNA
Rfam family: Bacterial small subunit ribosomal RNA
Source: RNAcentral
GAUGAACGCUGGCGGCGUGCCUAAUACAUGCAAGUCGAACGCAUUGUGGUUGAAAUGAUAUGAAGAACUUGUUCAGAUUUGAUUUUCAACAUUGCAAUGAGUGGCGAACGGGUGAGUAACACGUGGGAAACCUACCUCUUAGCAGGGGAUAACAUUUGGAAACAAAUGCUAAUACCGUAUAAUAAUUAAAACCGCAAUGGUUUUAGUUUAAAAGAUGGUCUUGCUAGCACUAAGAGAUGGUCCCGCGGUGUAUUAGUUAGUUGGUGAGGUAAUGGCUCACCAAGACAAUGAUACAUAGCCGAGUUGAGAGACUGACCGGCCACAAUGGGACUGAGACACGGCCCAUACUCCUACGGGAGGCAGCAGUAGGGAAUCUUCCACAAUGGACGAAAGUCUGAUGGAGCAACGCCGCGUGUGUGAUGAAGGUUUCGGCUCGUAAAACACUGUUGUAAGAGAAGAAUGACAUUGAGAGUAACUGUUCAAUG